RNAcentral lists this unclassified non-coding RNA (217 nucleotides) under plant metagenome. RNAcentral describes it as "partial contains small subunit ribosomal RNA, internal transcribed spacer 1, and 5.8S ribosomal RNA". The record is from RNAcentral.
UCUCCGUAGGUGAACCUGCGGAGGGAUCAUUACAAGUGGCCCCGGUCUUACCACCGGGAUGUUCAUAACCCUUUGUUGUCCGACUCUGUUGCCUCCGGGGCGACCCUGCCUUCGGGCGGGGGCUCCGGGUGGACACUUCAAACUCUUGCGUAACUUUGCAGUCUGAGUAUACUUAAUUAAUAAAUUAAAACUUUUAACAACGGAUCUCUUGGUUCUG